RNAcentral lists this ribosomal RNA (465 nucleotides) under Vreelandella stevensii. RNAcentral describes it as "partial 16S ribosomal RNA". It matches the Rfam family "Bacterial small subunit ribosomal RNA", at positions 338 to 795 of the family's 1533-position model. Lineage: Bacteria; Pseudomonadati; Pseudomonadota; Gammaproteobacteria; Oceanospirillales; Halomonadaceae. The record is from RNAcentral.
CCUACGGGUGGCAGCAGUGGGGAAUAUUGGACAAUGGGGGCAACCCUGAUCCAGCCAUGCCGCGUGUGUGAAGAAUGCCCUCGGGUUGUAAAGCACUUUCAGUGAGGAAGAACGCCUGGUGGUUAAUACCCAUCAGGAAAGACAUCACUCACAGAAGAAGCACCGGCUAACUCCGUGCCAGCAGCCGCGGUAAUACGGAGGGUGCGAGCGUUAAUCGGAAUUACUGGGCGUAAAGCGCGCGUAGGUGGCUUGAUAAGCCGGUUGUGAAAGCCCCGGGCUCAACCUGGGAACGGCAUCCGGAACUGUCAAGCUAGAGUGCAGGAGAGGAAGGUAGAAUUCCCGGUGUAGCGGUGAAAUGCGUAGAGAUCGGGAGGAAUACCAGUGGCGAAGGCGGCCUUCUGGACUGACACUGACACUGAGGUGCGAAAGCGUGGGUAGCAAACAGGAUUAGAUACCCUGGUAGUC